This 460-nucleotide ribosomal RNA is filed under the name uncultured bacterium. RNAcentral's name for it is "partial 16S ribosomal RNA". It matches the Rfam family "Bacterial small subunit ribosomal RNA", at positions 338 to 795 of the family's 1533-position model. The record is from RNAcentral.
CCUACGGGUGGCAGCAGUGAGGAAUAUUGGUCAAUGGACGAGAGUCUGAACCAGCCAAGUAGCGUGAAGGAUGACUGCCCUAUGGGUUGUAAACUUCUUUUAUAUGGGAAUAAAAUGUUCCACGUGUGGGAUUUUGUAUGUACCAUAUGAAUAAGGAUCGGCUAACUCCGUGCCAGCAGCCGCGGUAAUACGGAGGAUACGAGCGUUAUCCGGAUUUAUUGGGUUUAAAGGGAGCGUAGGUGGAUUGUUAAGUCAGUUGUGAAAGUUUGCGGCUCAACCGUAGAAUUGCAGUUGAAACUGGCAGUCUUGAGUACAGUAGAGGUGGGCGGAAUUCGUGGUGUAGCGGUGAAAUGCUUAGAUAUCACGAAGAACUCCGAUUGCGAAGGCAGUUCACUGGACUGCAACUGACGCUGAGGCGCGAAAGUGUGGGUAUCAAACAGGAUUAGAUACCCGGGUAGUC